UGGCGAACGGGUGAGUAACACGUGGGUAAUCUGCCCUGCACUCUGGGAUAAGCCUGGGAAACUGGGUCUAAUACUGGAUAUGACCUUUCUACUUAUGGGGUUCGGUGGAAAGUUUUUCGGUGUAGGAUGAGCCCGCGGCCUAUCAGCUUGUUGGUGGGGUGAUGGCCUACCAAGGCGACGACGGGUAGCCGGCCUGAGAGGGUGAUCGGCCACAUUGGGACUGAGAUACGGCCCAG
This 236-nucleotide ribosomal RNA is filed under the name uncultured Actinomycetales bacterium. RNAcentral's name for it is "partial 16S ribosomal RNA". It matches the Rfam family "Bacterial small subunit ribosomal RNA", at positions 96 to 334 of the family's 1533-position model. The record is from RNAcentral. Lineage: Bacteria; Bacillati; Actinomycetota; Actinomycetes; Actinomycetales.